This 380-nucleotide unclassified non-coding RNA is filed under the name uncultured Rickettsiales bacterium. RNAcentral describes it as "contains 16S-23S intergenic spacer region". Lineage: Bacteria; Pseudomonadati; Pseudomonadota; Alphaproteobacteria; Rickettsiales. The record is from RNAcentral.
UCCGGCUUAUCACCGGCAGUUUCCUCAGAGUUCUCAGCAUUACCUGUUAGCAACAGAGGAUGAGGGUUGCGCUCGUUGCGGGACUUAACCCAACAUCUCACGACACGAGCUGACGACAGCCAUGCAGCACCUGUGCUCCUCCCACCCGAGGUGAAGGAGAUCAUUUCUGAUCCCCAUAGAGGGCAUGUCAAAACCUGGUAAGGUUCUUCGCGUUGCCUCGAAUUAAACCACAUGUUCCACCGCUUGUGCGGGUCCCCGUCAAUUCCUUUGAGUUUUAAUCUUGCGACCGUACUCCCCAGGCGGGAUGCUUAACGCGUUAGCUGCGCCACCGAGGACUACGUCCCCGACGGCUAGCAUCCAUCGUUUAGGGCGUGGACUAC